RNAcentral lists this ribosomal RNA (1044 nucleotides) under Saccocoelioides sogandaresi. RNAcentral describes it as "LSU rRNA". It matches the Rfam family "Eukaryotic large subunit ribosomal RNA", at positions 308 to 965 of the family's 3401-position model. Lineage: Eukaryota; Metazoa; Platyhelminthes; Trematoda; Plagiorchiida; Haploporidae. The record is from RNAcentral.
AUCCAAGGCUAAAUACAAGCACGAGUCCGAUAGCGAACAAGUACCGUGAGGGAAAGUUGAAAAGUACUUUGAAGAGAGAGUAAACAGUGCGUGAAACCGCUCAGAGGUAAACGGGUGGAGUUGAACUGCAAGCUCUGUGGAUUCAGCUGGUGAGUAUGGUUUGGGCUUGGCCAAAUAGGUUGAGCUGCGGGGUCUGCUUAUUCGCAGGUCUUUGUCUUCGGGCAGGGAUGCGCGAUGCACCUACCAUGUGCUGUGCGCCUCGUGGUUUCGAAUCUGCUCGCUAGUGCACUUUCGCAGGGUGUUCACCACGACCGGCAUUGCUGUCUGGCUAUUGUGGUUAAACCGGUCUUGCAUUGUCCUUGUGGCUUUGCUUGGUCGGGACGGCAGGUAACUCGUUGGUUGUUCGUAGCUUGCUGCGUUCGGCCUCGGGUGUAAUCAGCUGACUUCAAUGGUUCUGUGCAGUAUGUCGGAGACGGCGGCUUGUUGUGUGUGCGUGCGUGCCGGUCUCAUGGGCGUGCUCGGGUAUGACUGUCAUGUUGCUUGCGUAAGCAGGCCUGGUGGUUGCUCGGGUUUGUUCUGUGGGUGGUUGCGUGCGUGGCACUAUGCAGGGCCAAUAGUCUGUGGUGUAGUGGUAGACGAUCCACCCGACCCGUCUUGAAACACGGACCAAGGAGAGUAACAUGUGCGCGAGUCAUUGGGCGUAACGAAACCCAAAGGCGCAGUGAAAGUAAAGGCUCGGCUUUGUCCUUGCUGAGGUGAGAUCUUGCCGUUUCUCAUGCAUGGUACUACCAAGCAUCGAGCGGUGGGCGCAUCACCGGCCCGUCUCAUGACGUAGACACAUAGUCUUCGGACCAGUGCACCGUCGGGGCGGAGCAUGAGCGUACAUGUUGAGACCCGAAAGAUGGUGAACUAUGCUUGCGCAGGUUGAAGCCAGAGGAAACUCUGGUGGAGGACCGCAGCGAUUCUGACGUGCAAAUCGAUCGUCAAACGUGAGUAUAGGGGCGAAAGACUAAUCGAACCAUCUAGUAGCUGGUUCCCUCCGAA